Long non-coding RNA from Xiphophorus hellerii (green swordtail), 84 nucleotides. RefSeq lists it as uncharacterized. Lineage: Eukaryota; Metazoa; Chordata; Actinopteri; Cyprinodontiformes; Poeciliidae. The transcript has 3 exons. The record is from RefSeq and is a predicted model, not a curated record.
AAUUAUUUUUUAUUUCAAGUGGACAUAGAUAUUUGAGCUAGAAGCUAGACAAAAAAUACUUUGUAAAAUCUUGUGUUUCUGCAG